CGGCGGACGGGUGAGUAAUGUCUGGGAAACUGCCUGAUGGAGGGGGAUAACUACUGGAAACGGUAGCUAAUACCGCAUAACGUCGCAAGACCAAAGUGGGGGACCUUCGGGCCCCAUGCCAUCGGAUGUGCCCAGAUGGGAUUAGCUAGUAGGUGGGGUAACGGCUCACCUAGGCGACGAUCCCUAGCUGGUCUGAGAGGAUGACCAGCCACACUGGAACUGAGACACGGUCCAG
This 235-nucleotide ribosomal RNA is filed under the name uncultured bacterium. RNAcentral describes it as "partial 16S ribosomal RNA". It matches the Rfam family "Bacterial small subunit ribosomal RNA", at positions 96 to 334 of the family's 1533-position model. The record is from RNAcentral.